GCAGCAUCCACAGGAGGGGUGUCAUCCCUCGCACCAGGAACCUGGUUGUUACCAAGGUAUUUUGCUCCACCAUAUUCUUCAUUUUGCCAGUGACAAAAGCUCUCCAGAGACCUCUCUCCAUGAUGCCCAAUAGACAACUUGGCAGGUCGACUGCGAAGUAGGACUAGUUUUGUCACUCGAAUGCUGACUUUAAUUCCAAGGCUUUGAUGUUGAAACAUGUUGUACACCAUAUUCAUAACUGUGAGGAUGAAUCUUUGGGCAGCCUCUGCACCAUGGUAUUGGACCAUAUCAGCAUCUGCCACCACCAAAGUUUCUACUGUGUACUCAUUGGUAAGCCGAAUAGCAUUUCUUCUCUCCCUCCAGUCACUGGUUGAUUUCAUCUUCUUUUGCCUCUUCUUUUCUGUGAGAUCACCAUGGAAGUCAACUCAAAACUCA
RNAcentral lists this long non-coding RNA (435 nucleotides) under Gallus gallus (chicken). The record is from RNAcentral. Lineage: Eukaryota; Metazoa; Chordata; Aves; Galliformes; Phasianidae.